UGGGGAAUAUUGGACAAUGGGCGAAAGCCUGAUCCAGCCAUGCCGCGUGUGUGAAGAAGGUCUUCGGAUUGUAACGCACUUUAAGUUGGGAGGAAGGGCAUUAACCUAAUACGUUAGUGUUUUGACGUUACCGACAGAAUAAGCACCGGCUAACUCUGUGCCAGCAGCCGCGGUAAUACAGAGGGUGCAAGCGUUAAUCGGAAUUACUGGGCGUAAAGCGCGCGUAGGUGGUAUGUUAAGUUGGAUGUGAAAUCCCCGGGCUCAACCUGGGAACUGCAUUCAAAACUGACUGACUAGAGUAUGGUAGAGGGUGGUGGAAUUUCCUGUGUAGCGGUGAAAUGCGUAGAUAUAGGAAGGAACACCAGUGGCGAAGGCGACCACCUGGACUAAUACUGACACUGAGGUGCGAAAGCGUGGGGAGCAAACA
Molecule: ribosomal RNA, 427 nt
Filed under: uncultured bacterium
Lineage: Bacteria
Description: partial 16S ribosomal RNA
Rfam family: Bacterial small subunit ribosomal RNA
Source: RNAcentral